This 293-nucleotide unclassified non-coding RNA is filed under the name uncultured fungus. Its description in RNAcentral is "partial contains small subunit ribosomal RNA, internal transcribed spacer 1, and 5.8S ribosomal RNA". The stretch from base 1 to 73 matches the Rfam family "Eukaryotic small subunit ribosomal RNA", at positions 1759 to 1831 of the family's 1831-position model. The record is from RNAcentral. Lineage: Eukaryota; Fungi.
GCAAACUUGGUCAUUUAGAGGAAGUAAAAGUCGUAACAAGGUUUCCGUAGGUGAACCUGCGGAAGGAUCAUUACAAGGUACAUAGCCUACCCGGCUAUAACCUCCAACCAUUGUGUACCAAACUUUUGUUGCCUCGGCGGGCUGUCAGCCUACCCGGCUGGCCCCCCUGCGGGAGCCGCCCGCCGAAGGACCUUUCAAACCAGUUCGUUGAUGAACGUCUGAUUUAUUUUCUAAAAAGAAAUACAACUUUCAACAAUGGAUCUCUUGGCUCUGGCAUCGAUGAAGAACGCAGC